RNAcentral lists this ribosomal RNA (318 nucleotides) under uncultured bacterium. Its description in RNAcentral is "bacterial SSU rRNA". It matches the Rfam family "Bacterial small subunit ribosomal RNA", at positions 28 to 334 of the family's 1533-position model. The record is from RNAcentral.
GAUGAACGCUAGCGGCAGGCUUAACACAUGCAAGUCGAGGGGCAGCAUGACACGGAGAUUCGUCGAAGUGUUGAUGGCGACCGGCGCAAGGGUGCGUAACGCGUGAGCAACUUGCCCGUUUCAGGGGGAUAACCGGUGGAAACGCCGACUGAUACCCCAUAGCAUCACCUUAAGGCAUCUUUUGGUGAUUAAAGAAUUUCGGAAACGGAUAGGCUCGCGUGACAUUAGCUAGAUGGCGGGGUAACGGCCCACCAUGGCGACGAUGUCUAGGGGUUCUGAGAGGAAGGUCCCCCACACUGGAACUGAGACACGGUCCAG